AGACGUCUACAUUAGACUACCCCCGUAGUCCCAGCCGUAAACUAUGCGCGUUAGGUGUAUCGGUGACCACGAGUUACCGAGGUGCCGAAGGGAAACCGUGAAACGUGCCGCCUGGGAAGUACGGUCGCAAGGCUGAAACUUAAAGGAAUUGGCGGGGGAGCACCACAACAGGUGGAGCCUGCGGUUUAAUUGGACUCAACGCCGGGAAGCUCACCGGAUAGGACAGCAGAAUGAUUGCCGGGCUGAAGACCCUGCAUGACUAGCUG
Molecule: ribosomal RNA, 266 nt
Filed under: uncultured archaeon
Lineage: Archaea
Description: partial 16S ribosomal RNA
Rfam family: Archaeal small subunit ribosomal RNA
Source: RNAcentral